Molecule: long non-coding RNA, 1491 nt
Filed under: Apteryx haastii (Great spotted kiwi)
Lineage: Eukaryota; Metazoa; Chordata; Aves; Apterygiformes; Apterygidae
Description: lncRNA (ENSAHAG00000000450.1)
Source: RNAcentral
AUGAACAACAUGGCGGCAAGCUGCCCGUUCACUCCCAUGACUUCGGGUGUCAAUAAGACGGCUUGCUACCGAUGCACGCAGGAGGGGUCUGAAUGGGACGUCCCCUUGGGUAACGUUCAGUUUGGGGCGGUGUGGGAGAAUGGCACCGACGCGUAUCAAACUCGGUCAUUUGGAGGCAGAGGUGGCUAUGGCAGGGACACAAGUAUACUAAAGGCUGGUCUCGUUAGUACCGGAGGCCUAACCUUACUCCUCCGAGUGUACAAAGCACCGCGCAGUAUCCCCAUGGAGGAUCAUAGAUAUUAUAGCCCAAUAACCCCCACGCUUCUCCUGACAGCUAACGAAACCGGUGAUAGCCUACCAAUGCUCCUGUGGGUCAACACGCGUGAUGCCACUUUGGAAGGAGCAAAUGCCACCCUAAAUAUCUCUAGAGAAAUCAAGGAGAAUUUCACGGUGGAAUGGGUCGAAAUUAAUGAUGGGGAGAUUUGCCUGCAACACCCAUUGGUACUGCUCUGCGGUAACAUGACCUUUAAGUGCCUGCAGGCGGGGGAGGAUUAUGGCCUUUGUGUGUGGGGCAUACUCACCACAUUGGGGAUAUUCACGGGAAAACGGACCCGAAGGGAGGUAUUCUCGUCCCUCCCUGACCAUGGCCAGACAACGAGUAACUGUUCGGGAGCCACGUUAGGCUACCCGAAGUAUCAAGGGAUCACUGGAAUCCUAACGGCCGUAUUGAGCCCAGGGGUGGGAACCCUGAUAAAUGCAGAUGCAUUAGGUAAAUUAGCGUGCAGCCUGGCGCAGACAAACGCUGUGGUCAAGCAAGUGGUGGAAUCCAUGGCGCAUAGCACGGAAACCACGGAACGCCUAUUACGAGCGCAUAGGCAGGCGAUUAACGUGUUAUUUGACAUCUUGAUACAGGGCGGAUGCUCCUCCACACAACUGGCAAAUCUGACGUUCUGCUGUCUGUCAGCAGAGGACUAUUCGAAGAUCAAUGAACGGAACGCCAUCAUCCGGAUGGCAGCGGAUGGACUGGCAACUGCGGUCAGAGAGAACCCGAUUGGAUGGGCAUGGCCGGACAACCUGGCGGCGAGCGUGUGGGCAUGGAUUCUGUCGUGGUUUGACUGGAAGUGGCUAAUCAUGCUGGGAUUAGUAGCGCUUGCGAUAGUAGCGGCUAUAUGCUGUGGCCUCCCAAUAAUCAGCAUCUGCCUGAGGCAGGUAYGGGCUCAGCUGCUUGCUAGGCACGAACGUAGAGUGUAUCAACUCCUGAUACGAGAAGAGAUGCUCCAGGGAGAAGGGGAGAUGUGGGUGAUAUCCAAUCCCGAGCGGGGACUAGGCGAACGGAAGAUCACGCGAUGUGAYGAGCAGGCAGGGGGCGUAGACGAAGCGUUGCGGUAUAUAAGGACACGUGCAGCAUACAAUAAACGCCAUCUUAGUAUCCCUCAUAUGGAAGUCUGUGCUUCAUGGCCCUGGGAUCUGAGGGUCCCGGUGCACCCUUAG